AAAAUACGUGCAAAUGUUAAGUGCAAUUUGUACAUAAUCCCUUUUCAAAGCUUCAAUCAAAACAUAAGUGCUCCAUAUAAAUCACAGAACCUAUCCAUCUCGAAAAAAGCUAAAACUUUUGCGUCAACUACUUAGGUUCGAAAUUAAGCUAGCUGACAAGUAGUGUAAGCUGUUACACAUCUCUUACCUAAUGAUAGAAGCCAUAUCAUUCAACCGGUAAUACUACAUUGCUAUCACUUCCAACUUGAAGGCCAAUAAGCAUGAAUACCGUACCCAGUCUUCCAGUUAUCGAGCUGAAUCACCUUCUUAACAGCCCAGAACGAAACGAACAACGCAAAAAGCAUCACCACCCUCUGCACAGUCCUACUCUUUAGACGAACGAGAACAUUAGUCAUAAAAGCCAACAACAAUCCAACAAUCGUGUACAAAAACCCAACCGCGAAUCCUUCAGCUCCCAAUUGCAUCCCUGAUCCUUGAUAAAAGAAAACCAACUUCCCUGGAUCCUCUCUAUCCAUCAUAAACAUAGGCAUUUUCCUAAUUAUAUUAUGCAUUGCACCUGAAACACUGAAAAAGUAAACGAAUAUUGAUCCCGCCAUCCAUACAUGCUUAUCGUGCAAAAGGGUACCUCCAGCAAGUACCCUUUUCACCAAAAAAGGACUCAAAACCAACCCUGCAGCAAUAAUAACGGCCAUCUGCUUCUUCGAAAUCAUCGGUGGUCGAUGAAUAGGACCUACAGUAAGCUUAGUCUUCGCUUCAACAAAUUCAGCCAUUGAUUCAGCAAGCCUGGCAAGAUCAGACCCAUCCAUUUGAAUCGAAUCUUUUUUCAUAUCAGUAGCUGAAGGUGGGACUAAACGUAAAUGGGGUAAUGAAUUAACCCCAAAUAGCGCAAAUGAAGCUUGUGAGUCACCAAAUUCGAUAGUAAAAUAGAAGAUCUUGUUGUUUCCUGGGUUAUUAGCGAGGAAAGAGGAGGAUAAAAGGGAGAACUCAUUUUUUAGAGUAGGUAGUGAAAGUUCGGGUUUUGAAUGGAGUUGUUUAGCGUCAAAGAAGAUGAGAAAUGAAAAGGAUCGUGGGGAUUUAGCCGAGAGGAUUCGACGGAGAAGAUGAUCGGAGAGAUGGAUAACUCCGGUGGGAGAUUGAGAUCGGAGGUUGAUUAGCUCCGGUAGAAGGUCCUCAUGGGAGGAAGAUGAAAAGGAGUGGUUGAUGGGUACGAGGACUAGGAGAAUGGCGAUAAGGGUUAGGGUUUUGGAGAUCGCCAUUGUAGCCUGCGAAGAUUUAGGA
This 1278-nucleotide unclassified non-coding RNA is filed under the name Hevea brasiliensis (rubber tree). The record is from RNAcentral. Lineage: Eukaryota; Viridiplantae; Streptophyta; Magnoliopsida; Malpighiales; Euphorbiaceae.